RNAcentral lists this non-coding RNA (46 nucleotides) under Schistosoma margrebowiei. The record is from RNAcentral. Lineage: Eukaryota; Metazoa; Platyhelminthes; Trematoda; Strigeidida; Schistosomatidae.
AUUCAGCUGAAGAGUCCUAAAUAGGACGAAACGCGUACGCCUAAAU